GUAGCUCGGAUUGAUGCUAACAUCUCGUCGGAAGAGUUCUGGAUACUGCCUCAUGAAUUUCGUGGGACGCAUUUUAGCCCAUGAUGGAUUUUCAGGCAAGUUUGAUCCAAAUUCGACAGCGCUCACAGAAACAUCAGACUUUUCUGGUGAUUUUAGAGAUCCCAAGUUACUGGUCAAGUGAGUCGACCGAGAUUUUCCUGGGGUCAAAGUGCUCAGAGAUUUGAGAAAGGAAGAUGCAGCCCUCAAACUUCGUGGUGCAAGACUUGAACUCGAUUGAGCAAUACUUAGCUCAGUUGCCGAUGCCCUAGAAUCUUCCUCCGCCAUACCGAAUAGAUGAGUUACUCAAAGUUUUUUAAAAUAUAGUCAAACAUUUCUAGAUACUAUGUGAUUAUGUCGUCGGU
RNAcentral lists this unclassified non-coding RNA (401 nucleotides) under Athalia rosae (coleseed sawfly). Its description in RNAcentral is "misc RNA ENSAEAG00005011246.1". The record is from RNAcentral. Lineage: Eukaryota; Metazoa; Arthropoda; Insecta; Hymenoptera; Athaliidae.